ACGGAGGGUGCAAGCGUUAAUCGGAAUUACUGGGCGUAAAGCGCGCGUAGGUGGUUUGUUAAGUGGAAUGUGAAAGCCCUGGGCUCAACCUAGGAAUUGCAUCCCAAACUGGCAAACUAGAGUACAAGAGAGGGGUGUGGAAUUUCCUGUGUAGCGGUGAAAUGCGUAGAUAUAGGAAGGAACAUCAGUGGCGAAGGCGACGCCCUGGCUUGAUACUGACACUGAGGUGCGAAAGCGUGGGGAGCAAACAGG
This 252-nucleotide ribosomal RNA is filed under the name uncultured bacterium. RNAcentral describes it as "partial 16S ribosomal RNA". It matches the Rfam family "Bacterial small subunit ribosomal RNA", at positions 525 to 776 of the family's 1533-position model. The record is from RNAcentral.